This 336-nucleotide long non-coding RNA is filed under the name Gallus gallus (chicken). The record is from RNAcentral. Lineage: Eukaryota; Metazoa; Chordata; Aves; Galliformes; Phasianidae.
GGGGGGGUGGUCAGCAAAUCAUUUUCAAGGUCCAAAUCCUCUUCAUUUGGCCCCUGGGUGUGGAGCAACUCCAGGGGAGGUUCCUCCAAACCACCUUCCCAUUGGGGGAUGCUGCUGACGUCUGGGGAAGAUGCGAGCCCUGAGUCCUCAUGCAGCUCCUCGACAAAGCCCUGCAGUGCUCCCGUGCCGGGGUCCCGCAGCGCCCGCACACUGCUGUGCACCGGGGUUGGCUCCAACACAAACAGUGCCCGGGGGGUGGGCACCCGCGUCCAGCACCGUGCUGCGGGGGGGGGCGGGACCCGGCAGCAGUUCGCAGCGCCCGGCGCAGCCCAAUUC